GACGAACGCUGGCGGCGUGCCUAAUACAUGCAAGUCGAGCGGACCGAACAGGAGCUUGCUCUUGUUCGGUUAGCGGCGGACGGGUGAGUAACACGUGGGUAACCUGCCCGUAAGACCGGGAUAACUCCGGGAAACCGGAGCUAAUACCGGAUAACACCGAAGACCGCAUGGUCUUUGGUUGAAAGGCGGCUUCGGCUGCCACUUACGGAUGGGCCCGCGGCGCAUUAGCUAGUUGGUGAGGUAACGGCUCACCAAGGCGACGAUGCGUAGCCGGCCUGAGAGGGUGACCGGCCACACUGGGACUGAGACACGGCCCAGACUCCGACGGGAGGCAGCAGUAGGGAAUCUUCCGCAAUGGACGAAAGUCUGACGGAGCGACGCCGCGUGAGCGAAGAAGGGCUUCGGAUCGUAAAGCUCUGUUGUUAGGGAAGAAGAAGCGUCGUUCGAACAGGGCGGCGCGGUGACGGUACCUAACGAGAAAGCCCCGGCUAACUACGUG
This 499-nucleotide ribosomal RNA is filed under the name uncultured bacterium. Its description in RNAcentral is "partial 16S ribosomal RNA". It matches the Rfam family "Bacterial small subunit ribosomal RNA", at positions 28 to 507 of the family's 1533-position model. The record is from RNAcentral.